Molecule: long non-coding RNA, 1564 nt
Organism: Melospiza melodia melodia
Lineage: Eukaryota; Metazoa; Chordata; Aves; Passeriformes; Passerellidae
Exons: 2
Source: RefSeq, a predicted model, not a curated record
GGGCACAGCUCCCUGGGCACAGCCGAGCCCGUGCCCUUCUCCCCGGUGACCGCUCGCUCGCUCGCUCGCUCUGAGUCACCAGGAAAUCUGAUAAGGCUCCGCUGAAACCUCUGGAGCAGCCUGGGGGGGCCGCUGGCACCGCGGCCGGCUCAGCCUCCCUGAUUUCUUGGCUCUCCUCCAGCACCCUGGCUGUCGCAGGUGUGUGAUCAGAACAACCCAAACCUGCUUUGCUGCCCAAACUUCAGGAGCUGAGGGGCCUUUUGGUAAAGAUGCAGCCCUUAAUUCUUGUGAGAAGUGCAUGGGCCCUUGCCAUGGCAUGUGGCAGCUGAGCCUCGAGCUUUGAAGGUGACGUUUGCUGGUUUGCCCCAGCUACACUCUUGAUUUAAUCCUCCCAAAGCGCUAGUGGUCAGAGGAUGCAGGGAAUAGGGAGGGCGGGAGGGGAGCAGCAUGGAAAAUCAUCCCCAAACGUGACCCAUCCAUUAAAGCACAUCAUCAGCCCCAGCAGGAACACGCUAGGUGUGUCAAUUCCUCUUUUCCGUUUGGCCGUGUGCUGGGCAGCCAGAUUAAUCUGUUUUAGCAAUUAGGCAAGAAACCCUGAGCGUUUCUCGUUCUGAAGGGCUUAGUCAUAUCUGGGUGAGAAGCCUGAGCUGGUGAUGUGGGCAAAACCCCGGGGGCUGCUUGGCCUCCCGAGGCAGUUCCUGGAAGCAGAGCAGGUACAGAACAGCUGGAAAUGCUCCAAAGGAUUUGGGUUGGUGCAGGUUCUUGGCCAAGUGGAGAUUUCCUUGCUCUGGCCUGUUUUAACCUGCAGACAAAUCCCAGUCCAGCUCCAGGUGUCUGCAGGACAAAGCACUUUACAGGCCACAGCCCUGUUCCACGAAGAUCCUCUCCAGGUGUGGCUCUCCUGCAGGAGCUGCGCUGCUGGGAGAACACCUUGUUUGCAUUCCCCAGCUUUCACACUGCACCAGCCAACUCCAGCUCUGACAGCCAGGACCAGCAAGUCCUGCUUGGGCCCAGCCUGGCACUCCUGUCACCAGCCUGAGAGAAAAUCCAGCUCCCAUGGCCCAGUUUCCUCUGCACCAGCAAGGAAAACUUCCAUGUCAAGGGCAUCUGAAUUUUCGGCGUGGAGCUUUGGGUCCCCAUGGAGAUUGCAUCUGUGGAAAGAAGAUAAAACCCUUUUGUGAGGAUGGAUCCCGGUUAUUAUUUGUUUAAUUAGAAUCUGGACUGAUGCAGAGGCAACAAUUAACAAUUACCUUCCGUGGAGGACUUUGACAGCAGCUGAAUUGGUUUAAUGACUUGCAGGAUGGAGACAAAUCACUGCAGCUGCCAUUCAUGAGGCUGGAGGUGCGAGGAGGAGUCCCCGGGCCCGAUGUCUCUGAUUUAAGGGGCUUUUCCUCCUUCUUUUGGAAUGACCAAGCAGGAAUUUUCCUCCGCCGUGCAGCUGGGAUUAUCCGGGAGCCAGGGAAUUAAGUUCCAAAUGAAAAUUUAAACUAUUCAUUACGCUUUAUUAGCAGGCUUCAGGAAUGCUUAAUUGUAGAAAUAAAUUACAGGAGAGGUGAGUGGGUAA